RNAcentral lists this ribosomal RNA (253 nucleotides) under uncultured bacterium. RNAcentral describes it as "partial 16S ribosomal RNA". It matches the Rfam family "Bacterial small subunit ribosomal RNA", at positions 524 to 776 of the family's 1533-position model. The record is from RNAcentral.
UACGGAGGGGGUUAGCGUUGUUCGGAAUUACUGGGCGUAAAGCGCGCGUAGGCGGACCAGAAAGUUGGGGGUGAAAUCCCGGGGCUCAACCCCGGAACGGCCUCCAAAACUCCUGGUCUUGAGUUCGAGAGAGGUAAGUGGAAUUCCGAGUGUAGAGGUGAAAUUCGUAGAUAUUCGGAGGAACACCAGUGGCGAAGGCGGCUCACUGGCUCGAUACUGACGCUGAGGUGCGAAAGUGUGGGGAGCAAACAGG